This 47-nucleotide transfer RNA is filed under the name Angraecum ramosum. RNAcentral's name for it is "partial tRNA-Leu". The record is from RNAcentral. Lineage: Eukaryota; Viridiplantae; Streptophyta; Magnoliopsida; Asparagales; Orchidaceae.
GAAAAUCCGUCGAAUUUAAAUCNUGGUUUCAAGUCCCUCUAUCCCCA